AAAUUGAAGAGUUUGAUCAUGGCUCAGAUUGAACGCUGGCGGCAGGCCUAACACAUGCAAGUCGAACGGUAACAGGAAGCAGCUUGCUGCUUUGCUGACGAGUGGCGGACGGGUGAGUAAUGUCUGGGAAACUGCCUGAUGGAGGGGGAUAACUACUGGAAACGGUGGCUAAUACCGCAUAACGUCGCAAGACCAAAGAGGGGGACCUUCGGGCCUCUUGCCAUCAGAUGUGCCCAGAUGGGAUUAGCUUGUUGGUGAGGUAACGGCUCACCAAGGCGACGAUCCCUAGCUGGUCUGAGAGGAUGACCAGCCACACUGGAACUGAGACACGGUCCAGACUCCUACGGGAGGCAGCAGUGGGGAAUAUUGCACAAUGGGCGCAAGCCUGAUGCAGCCAUGCCGCGUGUAUGAAGAAGGCCUUCGGGUUGUAAAGUACUUUCAGCGGGGAGGAAGGUGUUGUGGUUAAUAACCACAGCAAUUGACGUUACCCGCAGAAGAAGCACCGGCUAACUCCGUGCCAGCAGCCGCGGUAAUACGGAGGGUGCAAGCGUUAAUCGGAAUUACUGGGCGUAAAGCGCACGCAGGCGGUCUGUCAAGUCGGAUGUGAAAUCCCCGGGCUCAACCUGGGAACUGCAUUCGAAACUGGCAGGCUUGAGUCUUGUAGAGGGGGGUAGAAUUCUAGGUGUAGCGGUGAAAUGCGUAGAGAUCUGGAGGAAUACCGGUGGCGAAGGCGGCCCCCUGGACAAAGACUGACGCUCAGGUGCGAAAGCGUGGGGAGCAAACAGGAUUAGAUACCCUGGUAGUCCACGCCGUAAACGAUGUCUACUUGGAGGUUGUGCCCUUGAGGCGUGGCUUCCGGAGCUAACGCGUUAAGUAGACCGCCUGGGGAGUACGGCCGCAAGGUUAAAACUCAAAUGAAUUGACGGGGGCCCGCACAAGCGGUGGAGCAUGUGGUUUAAUUCGAUGCAACGCGAAGAACCUUACCUGGUCUUGACAUCCACAGAACUUUCCAGAGAUGGACUGGUGCCUUCGGGAACUGUGAGACAGGUGCUGCAUGGCUGUCGUCAGCUCGUGUUGUGAAAUGUUGGGUUAAGUCCCGCAACGAGCGCAACCCUUAUCCUUUGUUGCCAGCGGUCCGGCCGGGAACUCAAAGGAGACUGCCAGUGAUAAACUGGAGGAAGGUGGGGAUGACGUCAAGUCAUCAUGGCCCUUACGACCAGGGCUACACACGUGCUACAAUGGCGCAUACAAAGAGAAGCGACCUCGCGAGAGCAAGCGGACCUCAUAAAGUGCGUCGUAGUCCGGAUUGGAGUCUGCAACUCGACUCCAUGAAGUCGGAAUCGCUAGUAAUCGUGGAUCAGAAUGCCACGGUGAAUACGUUCCCGGGCCUUGUACACACCGCCCGUCACACCAUGGGAGUGGGUUGCAAAAGAAGUAGGUAGCUUAACCUUCGGGAGGGCGCUUACCACUUUGUGAUUCAUGACUGGGGUGAAGUCGUAACAAGGUAACCGUAGGGGAACCUGCGGUUGGAUCACCUCCUUA
RNAcentral lists this ribosomal RNA (1542 nucleotides) under Salmonella enterica subsp. enterica serovar Agona str. 24249. RNAcentral's name for it is "bacterial SSU rRNA". It matches the Rfam family "Bacterial small subunit ribosomal RNA". The record is from RNAcentral. Lineage: Bacteria; Pseudomonadati; Pseudomonadota; Gammaproteobacteria; Enterobacterales; Enterobacteriaceae.